RNAcentral lists this ribosomal RNA (460 nucleotides) under uncultured bacterium. RNAcentral describes it as "partial 16S ribosomal RNA". It matches the Rfam family "Bacterial small subunit ribosomal RNA", at positions 338 to 795 of the family's 1533-position model. The record is from RNAcentral.
CCUACGGGAGGCAGCAGUGGGGAAUAUUGGUCAAUGGACGCAAGUCUGAACCAGCCAUGCCGCGUGCCGGAUGAAGGCUCUAUGAGUUGUAAACUGCUUUUGUACGGGGGUAAACCCCGAUACGUGUAUCGUGUUGAACGUAUCGUAAGAAUAAGGGUCGGCUAACUCCGUGCCAGCAGCAGCGCUAAGACGGAGGAUCCGCGCGUUAUACGGAUGUAUUGGGUUUAAAGGGUGCGUAGGCGGUUUGAUAAGUUAGAGGUGAAAUGUCGGGGCUCAACCCCGAAACUGCCUCUAAUACUGUUGGACUAGAGAAUAGUUGCGGUAGGCGGAAUGUAUGGUGUAGCGGUGAAAUGCUGAGAGAUCAUACAGAACACCGAUGGCGAAGGCAGCUUACCAAACUAUAUCUGACGUUGAGGCACGAAAGCGUGGGUAGCAAACAGGAUUAGAUACCCUUGUAGUC